Long non-coding RNA from Daucus carota subsp. sativus, 521 nucleotides. RefSeq lists it as uncharacterized. The record is from RefSeq and is a predicted model, not a curated record. Lineage: Eukaryota; Viridiplantae; Streptophyta; Magnoliopsida; Apiales; Apiaceae. The transcript is spliced from 2 exons.
AGAGCCAAAUAUAUGCUGAGAUUUUGAAGUGAAAAUACUCUCCCAAAGUUUAUUCAAGCACCCACCAUAUUUACUUCAUCUUUAAAACCUUCGAUUCUUCAUAUACUUCGUUAUAUACACAAGGUUUUAAACCCCGAGGCUUCGUACCACCCAACCUAGCCAAAUCUCGCCUAGCUCAUUUUCAUACCACUCUAUUUGUCCUCCUGAAGGGCUGCCCAAAGUUCGUGUGCAAAGCCAAAAUCCGGUCGAACCUCCGACGAAUUUUUCCGGCGAACUCUUUUGAGGUGAAGUGAAGUGAGGUGAUCUUCGUUCUAAGACCCAAGUCCUUGAUGUAUUGACGGAGAGUUAAUAGUCAUUGCACCGUGAAGAAGAGGAAAGACCCGAGAUCUAAUACCUAAGACCCGCUUUCAAGACAAGCUUUGUAGGUGUUUUUACAUUUAUAGUGAGGAGGUAACGGGAAGUUACGCUCCAAGAUAUAUAUUUGUAAAGGCUUCUCCGCCUACUUUAAAGGAGUAUCUUUA